This 199-nucleotide long non-coding RNA is filed under the name Vigna radiata. RNAcentral's name for it is "long non-coding RNA (VRAD_LNC012968)". The record is from RNAcentral. Lineage: Eukaryota; Viridiplantae; Streptophyta; Magnoliopsida; Fabales; Fabaceae.
UAGAAAACGAUGAGGUGAAGUGGAGGAAUCCAUUGAAAAAUUAAUUAAGUCGGUUAUUUAAUGGUAAAUAUGAAUGAGUAGGACUUUCAACUCUUAUUUCUUUACAAGUGGGAGAGAGAGAGAGAGAGGGACCUAACCUACGAUAAGUCCUUACUUUUAAAUCUCAUUAUUAUACCUAAAAUCAAUAUUUUAUGAAACC